Molecule: ribosomal RNA, 262 nt
Filed under: uncultured bacterium
Lineage: Bacteria
Description: partial 16S ribosomal RNA
Rfam family: Bacterial small subunit ribosomal RNA
Source: RNAcentral
CGGAGGGGGCUAGCGUUGUUCGGAAUUACUGGGGCGUAAAAGCGCACGUAGGCGGACCGGAAAAGUCAGAGGUGAAAUCCCAGGGGCUCAAACCUUGGGAACUGCCUUUUGAAAACUAUCGGUCUGGAGUUCGAGAGAGGUGAGUGGAAUUCCGAGUGUAGAGGUGAAAUUCGUAGAUAUUCGGAGGAACACCAGUGGCGAAGGCGGCUCACUGGCUCGAUACUGACGCUGAGGUGCGAAAGCGUGGGGAGCAAACAGGAUU